CCUACGGGAGGCAGCAGUGAGGAAUAUUGGUCAAUGGGCGAGAGCCUGAACCAGCCAAGUCGCGUGAAGGAUGACGGCCCUACGGGUUGUAAACUUCUUUUGUCAGGGAGCAAUUGAGUCCACGUGUGGGCUUAGCGAGAGUACCUGAAGAAAAAGCAUCGGCUAACUCCGUGCCAGCAGCCGCGGUAAUACGGAGGAUGCGAGCGUUAUCCGGAUUUAUUGGGUUUAAAGGGUGCGUAGGCGGAAUAUCAAGUCAGCGGUAAAAAUUCGGGGCUCAACCCCGUCGUGCCGUUGAAACUGAUGUUCUUGAGUGGGCGAGAAGUAUGCGGAAUGCGUGGUGUAGCGGUGAAAUGCAUAGAUAUCACGCAGAACUCCGAUUGCGAAGGCAGCAUACCGGCGCCCAACUGACGCUGAAGCACGAAAGCGUGGGUAUCGAAC
RNAcentral lists this ribosomal RNA (438 nucleotides) under uncultured bacterium. RNAcentral describes it as "bacterial SSU rRNA". It matches the Rfam family "Bacterial small subunit ribosomal RNA", at positions 338 to 773 of the family's 1533-position model. The record is from RNAcentral.